AGCGAACGCUGGCGGCAGGCUUAACACAUGCAAGUCGAGCGGGCCCUUCGGGGUUAGCGGCAGACGGGUGAGUAACGCGUGGGAACGUGCCCUUCGGUUUGGAAUAACUCAGGGAAAAUUGAGCUAAUACCGGAUACGCUCCUACGGGGAAAGGCUUGCUGCCGAAGGAUCGGCCCGCGUCUGAUUAGCUAGUUGGUGAGGUUAUGGCUCACCAAGGCGGCGAUCAGUAGCUGGUCUGAGAGGAUGAUCAGCCACACUGGGACUGAGACACGGCCCAGACUCCUGCGGGAGGCAGCAGUGGGGAAUAUUGGACGAUGGGGGCAACCCUGAUCCAGCCAUGCCGCGAGAGUGAUGACGGCCUUAGGGUUGUAAAGCUCUUUUCUCCGGGACGAUAAUGACGGUACCGGAGGAAUAAGCCCCGGCUAACUUCGU
Molecule: ribosomal RNA, 432 nt
Filed under: uncultured bacterium
Lineage: Bacteria
Description: partial 16S ribosomal RNA
Rfam family: Bacterial small subunit ribosomal RNA
Source: RNAcentral